UGGGGAAUAUUGGACAAUGGGCGCAAGCCUGAUCCAGCAAUGCCGCGUGGAUGAAGAAGGUUUUCGGAUUGUAAAGUCCUUUCGGCGGGGACGAUGAUGACGGUACCCGCAGAAGAAGCCCCGGCUAACUUCGUGCCAGCAGCCGCGGUAAUACGAAGGGGGCUAGCGUUGCUCGGAAUGACUGGGCGUAAAGGGCGCGUAGGCGGAUUUGUCAGUCAGGCGUGAAAUUCCUGGGCUUAACCUGGGGGCUGCGUUUGAGACGGUGGAUCUAGAGUUUGGAAGAGGGUCGUGGAAUUCCCAGUGUAGAGGUGAAAUUCGUAGAUAUUGGGAAGAACACCGGUGGCGAAGGCGGCGACCUGGUCCUGGACUGACGCUGAGGCGCGAAAGCGUGGGGAGCAAACAG
Molecule: ribosomal RNA, 403 nt
Filed under: uncultured bacterium
Lineage: Bacteria
Description: bacterial SSU rRNA
Rfam family: Bacterial small subunit ribosomal RNA
Source: RNAcentral